AGGACGAACGCUGGCGGCGUGGAUUAGGCAUGCAAGUCGAACGACGGUCAGGAGCUUGCUCUUGAUACGGAGUGGCGAACGGGUGAGUAACACGUGAACAACCUGUCCUUACAUUCGGGAUAAUUCACCGAAAGGUGUUGUAAUACCGGCGAGGAUGAAGUGGGGGCAUCUCUACUUUAAGGAACAGGCAGGGGUAACCCUGUGUGGUGCAAGGAGGGGUUCGCGGUCUAUCAGCUUGUUGGUGAGGUAACGGCUCACCAAGGCGACGACGGAUA
This 275-nucleotide ribosomal RNA is filed under the name uncultured soil bacterium. RNAcentral describes it as "partial 16S ribosomal RNA". It matches the Rfam family "Bacterial small subunit ribosomal RNA", at positions 26 to 285 of the family's 1533-position model. The record is from RNAcentral.